This 225-nucleotide ribosomal RNA is filed under the name uncultured Acinetobacter sp. RNAcentral describes it as "partial 16S ribosomal RNA". It matches the Rfam family "Bacterial small subunit ribosomal RNA", at positions 568 to 792 of the family's 1533-position model. The record is from RNAcentral. Lineage: Bacteria; Pseudomonadati; Pseudomonadota; Gammaproteobacteria; Moraxellales; Moraxellaceae.
UGCGUAGGCGGCUUUUUAAGUCGGAUGUGAAAUCCCUGAGCUUAACUUAGGAAUUGCAUUCGAUACUGGAAAGCUAGAGUAUGGGAGAGGAUGGUAGAAUUCCAGGUGUAGCGGUGAAAUGCGUAGAGAUCUGGAGGAAUACCGAUGGCGAAGGCGGCUUUCUGGACGAUAACUGACGCUGAGGCGCGAAAGCGUGGGGAGCAAACAGGAUUAGAUACCCUUGUA